This 845-nucleotide ribosomal RNA is filed under the name Salmonella enterica. RNAcentral describes it as "partial 23S ribosomal RNA". It matches the Rfam family "Bacterial large subunit ribosomal RNA", at positions 711 to 1556 of the family's 2925-position model. The record is from RNAcentral. Lineage: Bacteria; Pseudomonadati; Pseudomonadota; Gammaproteobacteria; Enterobacterales; Enterobacteriaceae.
AGACCCGAAACCCGGUGAUCUAGCCAUGGGCAGGUUGAAGGUUGGGUAACACUAACUGGAGGACCGAACCGACUAAUGUUGAAAAAUUAGCGGAUGACCUGUGGCUGGGGGUGAAAGGCCAAUCAAACCGGGAGAUAGCUGGUUCUCCCCGAAAGCUAUUUAGGUAGCGCCUCGUGAAUUCAUCUCCGGGGGUAGAGCACUGUUUCGGCUAGGGGGCCAUCCCGGCUUACCAACCCGAUGCAAACUGCGAAUACCGGAGAAUGUUAUCACGGGAGACACACGGCGGGUGCUAACGUCCGUCGUGAAGAGGGAAACAACCCAGACCGCCAGCUAAGGUCCCAAAGUCAUGGUUAAGUGGGAAACGAUGUGGGAAGGCCCAGACAGCCAGGAUGUUGGCUUAGAAGCAGCCAUCAUUUAAAGAAAGCGUAAUAGCUCACUGGUCGAGUCGGCCUGCGCGGAAGAUGUAACGGGGCUAAACCAUGCACCGAAGCUGCGGCAGCGACGCUGAUGCGUUGUUGGGUAGGGGAGCGUUCUGUAAGCCUGCGAAGGUGGCCUGUGAGGGUUGCUGGAGGUAUCAGAAGUGCGAAUGCUGACAUAAGUAACGAUAAAGCGGGUGAAAAGCCCGCUCGCCGGAAGACCAAGGGUUCCUGUCCAACGUUAAUCGGGGCAGGGUGAGUCGACCCCUAAGGCGAGGCCGAAAGGCGUAGUCGAUGGGAAACGGGUUAAUAUUCCCGUACUUGGUGUUACUGCGAAGGGGGGACGGAGAAGGCUAUGUUGGCCGGGCGACGGUUGUCCCGGUUUAAGCGUGUAGGUGUGUGUUCCAGGUAAAUCCGGUUCACUUUAAC